This 253-nucleotide ribosomal RNA is filed under the name uncultured bacterium. RNAcentral describes it as "partial 16S ribosomal RNA". It matches the Rfam family "Bacterial small subunit ribosomal RNA", at positions 524 to 776 of the family's 1533-position model. The record is from RNAcentral.
GACAGAGGGGGCAAGCGUUGUUCGGAAUUACUGGGCGUAAAGGGCGCGUAGGCGGCCCGCUAAGUCGAACGUGAAAUCCCCGGGCUCAACCCGGGAACUGCGUCCGAUACUGGUGGGCUUGAAUCCGGGAGAGGGAUGCGGAAUUCCAGGUGUAGCGGUGAAAUGCGUAGAUAUCUGGAGGAACACCGGUGGCGAAGGCGGCAUCCUGGACCGGCAUUGACGCUGAGGCACGAAGGUCAGGGGAGCAAACGGG